AUACUUCCCCGGGCACAGGGAUACCGUGAUCACGAAAGGGGUUUUCCCAGGGCGAGGCUCCCCUUGCACCCGGGGGUGCUGCCCCCUGCGAAAAACCAAAGUUUUUAACUCGGUGCGAAAUUUUGUUAGGGGGGGACUGCUUUUCGCGACCCCCCU
Cherax quadricarinatus is the source of this 156-nucleotide non-coding RNA. The record is from RefSeq and is a predicted model, not a curated record. NCBI's taxonomy places the organism in Eukaryota, Metazoa, Arthropoda, Malacostraca, Decapoda, Parastacidae.